GGAGGGAUGGCCGAGUGGACGAAGGCGCCGGUCUUGAAAACCGGUAUAGAGCAAUCUAUCGUGGGUUCGAAUCCCACUCCCUCCGCCA
RNAcentral lists this transfer RNA (88 nucleotides) under Chloroflexota bacterium. RNAcentral describes it as "Chloroflexi bacterium (marine metagenome) tRNA-Ser". It matches the Rfam family "tRNA". Rfam says of the family: Transfer RNA (tRNA) molecules are approximately 80 nucleotides in length. Their secondary structure includes four short double-helical elements and three loops (D, anti-codon, and T loops). Further hydrogen bonds mediate the characteristic L-shaped molecular structure. tRNAs have two regions of fundamental functional importance: the anti-codon, which is responsible for specific mRNA codon recognition, and the 3' end, to which the tRNAs corresponding amino acid is attached (by aminoacyl-tRNA synthetases). tRNAs cope with the degeneracy of the genetic code in two manners: having more than one tRNA (with a specific anti-codon) for a particular amino acid; and 'wobble' base-pairing, i.e. permitting non-standard base-pairing at the 3rd anti-codon position. RNAcentral also lists the same sequence under 1 other name. Lineage: Bacteria; Bacillati; Chloroflexota. The record is from RNAcentral.